GAUGAACGCUAGCUACAGGCUUAACUCAUGCAAGUCGAGGGGAAACGACAUCGAAAGCUUGCUUUUGAUGGGCGUCGACCGGCGCACGGGUGAGUAACGCGUAUCCAACCUGCCCACCACUUGGGGAUAACCUUGCGAAAGUAAGACUAAUACCCAAUGAUAUCUCUAGAAGACAUCUGAAGGAGAUUAAAGAUUUAUCGGUGAUGGAUGGGGAUGCGUCUGAUUAGCUUGUUGGCGGGGUAACGGCCCACCAAGGCGACGAUCAGUAGGGGUUCAGAGAGGAAGGUCCACCACAUUGGAACGGAGACACGGUCCAAACUCCUACGGGAGGCAGCAGUGAGGAAUAUUGGUCAAUGGGCGAGAGCCUGAACCAGCCAAGUAGCGUGCAGGAUGACGGCCCUAUGGGUUGUAGACUGCUUUUAUAAGGGAAUAAAGUGAGUCUCGUGAGACUUUUUGCAUGUACCUUAUGAAUAAGGACCGGCUAAUUCCGUGCCAGCCGCCGCCGUAA
This 508-nucleotide ribosomal RNA is filed under the name uncultured bacterium. Its description in RNAcentral is "partial 16S ribosomal RNA". It matches the Rfam family "Bacterial small subunit ribosomal RNA", at positions 28 to 523 of the family's 1533-position model. The record is from RNAcentral.